RNAcentral lists this unclassified non-coding RNA (362 nucleotides) under uncultured bacterium. Its description in RNAcentral is "contains 16S-23S intergenic spacer region". The record is from RNAcentral.
UCCCCCGUGAGGGGGCAGUCUCGCCUGAAAAAUUAACAGACAACGGGGGUUGCGUUCGUUACCCCACUGAAGGGAACAGCUCAAGCCACGAACUGACGACAACCAUGCAUCACCUGCCAAGCACCCUCGAAGGCUCCCUCCCUUUCGGGUGGGAUGCAGCUUGGUUUCUAGCCCUGGUAAGGUUUUUCGCGGAUCGACGAAUUAAGCCACGCGUUCCACCGCUUGUGCGAGUCCCCGUCUAUUCCUUUGAGUUUUAAUCUUGCGAUCGUACUACCCAGGCGGCUCGCUUACCGCGUUAGCUUAGUCCCACAGAGGGUCGAUUCUCCGUAGAACGAGCGAGCAGCGUUUAGGGCCAGGACUAC